This 720-nucleotide ribosomal RNA is filed under the name Bacillus sp. enrichment culture clone DWSRK80. RNAcentral's name for it is "bacterial SSU rRNA". It matches the Rfam family "Bacterial small subunit ribosomal RNA", at positions 63 to 765 of the family's 1533-position model. The record is from RNAcentral. Lineage: Bacteria; Bacillati; Bacillota; Bacilli; Caryophanales; Bacillaceae.
CGAGCGGACAGAUGGGAGCUUGCUCCCUGAUGUUAGCGGCGGACGGGUGAGUAACACGUGGGUAACCUGCCUGUAAGACUGGGAUAACUCCGGGAAACCGGGGCUAAUACCGGAUGGUUGUUUGAACCGCAUGGUUCAAACAUAAAAGGUGGCUUCGGCUACCACUUACAGAUGGACCCGCGGCGCAUUAGCUAGUUGGUGAGGUAACGGCUCACCAAGGCAACGAUGCGUAGCCGACCUGAGAGGGUGAUCGGCCACACUGGGACUGAGACACGGCCCAGACUCCUACGGGAGGCAGCAGUAGGGAAUCUUCCGCAAUGGACGAAAGUCUGACGGAGCAACGCCGCGUGAGUGAUGAAGGUUUUCGGAUCGUAAAGCUCUGUUGUUAGGGAAGAACAAGUACCGUUCGAAUAGGGCGGUACCUUGACGGUACCUAACCAGAAAGCCACGGCUAACUACGUGCCAGCAGCCGCGGUAAUACGUAGGUGGCAAGCGUUGUCCGGAAUUAUUGGGCGUAAAGGGCUCGCAGGCGGUUUCUUAAGUCUGAUGUGAAAGCCCCCGGCUCAACCGGGGAGGGUCAUUGGAAACUGGGGAACUUGAGUGCAGAAGAGGAGAGUGGAAUUCCACGUGUAGCGGUGAAAUGCGUAGAGAUGUGGAGGAACACCAGUGGCGAAGGCGACUCUCUGGUCUGUAACUGACGCUGAGGAGCGAAAGCGUGGG